GAGCCGCGCGUUAAUCCGUCGCGGAGCCUGGUGGGGGCAGCCUAAAAGCUGGAUCUGCGCGACACAGGAAAACCGAUGCCUCGAUGGGGGAAAGCCCUGUAGCUCCUGGCAUGGCUGGCUGGGGAAUGCGGCGGGCCGUAGGACUGGCCUCCUGUCUGGACCGUGCACAGCUGCGAGCCAAUUCUGCCGGCAAGGAAGGGGGUACAAGCUGCCUGGCACUGACGAUGGAAAGCUCACACCAGGCUGCUUGUCCACCCCUCUCAGGGAUUUGCAUGUGGGAGGAAACACUUCCUCUGCCCCAUGACCUGGGAAUCUCAGCCGGAGGACCCUGCCUCCUGCUCCUGUCAGUGUGGCAGCUUGGCAUCCCCAAGAUCUUGGCUGGAGGACUGAGGGGGCAAAGAGUGGGAGGCAGUGCCUGGGGACCCCUGCUGUGCCCAGCAAAUUGUUACUUGAGCACAGCUGAAGCCCCUCAGCAACGUUAGGCUGGAGGUGUCUGUGCAGCUAUCCUGAGUUUAAAGCAUUGUUCAAACUCACCCAUAGUGGUUCAGAGUGAGAAGGGUUAAAUCUUCAGUCCGAAACUAACGUCUGUCAUUAAGUUAAUGGGUGCCUAAGCUGGGCCUCUUUUCUCUCAAUGUCAGCUCUGCCUUAGUUAUAGGUGAAUAAAUUUGAGCUUUUAAAUUUUUUAAAAUCUGUACUAUUGUUUUUAAUUCACUGUGUAAGCCGCCUGGGAAAGCAUUAGAACGUCAAGAUAGAUGUCAAAUGACAUGAACAAGCAUAAAAUACUAGUGCACCUUACAAGAUUGGUGUAAAUAUUACUUAGGAGGUAUGCAACCCGCAAAUACUCUGAAGGUUUGAAAUGGACUGUGUACAUGUCUAAAUAUAGCAAAGAGUGUGAGAGAGAAUGGAGCUACGAUAUGAGGGAAGGAAACUAUUAUCGUUGAUUGUUUGAACAAUAUUUUGCCUAGAAAUGUGGAUAAUAAAUGAAUAAUCAAUAAGGAAAUAUAAAUAAGUGAUGAAGCUAAGUGGCUUCUGUCAUUCUGACUGUUGGAAGAAGAGGGACUUUUGUCUGCACGUGGUGUAGUCCUUGAACCAAGUGUGAGGCCUCACACCAGAAAGCUGCUCUUCACCAUCAGACUUCCGUACUCACCAGAGCUGCUCAAAGGCCUCACUUAUUUUCUGCUGGAGGUUUUUCUUGGCUGCGUCGAUUACCUCCACCUCCUUGUGCAGUUCAUCUUCGACAGGGUCCUUCACCACGUCGAUGGCUCGGCGGCUCUCUCGGAGGGUAAGAUUUUCAAUGGCCACAUCCAGUGGCAAGUUCUUUGCCUGCAGGGCUCGCUCCGCCUCCUCCUUCAUCUGAAAAGGAGAAAUUAGAAUUGACUUCACUUUCUUCUAUUCUGGGGAUGUGAAGGGGCUGCCACAAGUGAAAAUAGCAUGCUGGCAACAUUGACUUGUGGGGACAAGCCAUGUUUCAUUUGGGAAUCUUGCAGCUUGGUCAAGUGGAUUCUGGCACACGAUUUUCAUCGCAAGCCGGCUUGAAUGUACGAACCAUUCACUUCUAGCAGUUCUUCGGCAACUUGAAAACUGUUGGCUCACUGUGAAGCCAUGGCAUGACAGCUUCUGCACAGAACCUCCUAGUACGCUUAUGUAAUGCAUUAAGUGGCUUGGCCCUGAAUUGCACAUUUGGAAAGGCUCAAGCAAAGCUAAAGAGUUUGAGGACCCUCAACAAUUAAUAGCCAAGGUCAUGCAGAGACUGCACUCAUACAGCAAGACUGAACCAAAAUGCUGAGCCAAGGUGAAAAUCUGAAUGAAGCUCAGUCCUGCCAUCUGAAUAAAAGUAUGUGAAUAUUAAA
This is a long non-coding RNA of Varanus komodoensis (Komodo dragon), 1850 nucleotides long. RefSeq lists it as uncharacterized. The transcript is spliced from 2 exons. NCBI's taxonomy places the organism in Eukaryota, Metazoa, Chordata, Lepidosauria, Squamata, Varanidae. The record is from RefSeq and is a predicted model, not a curated record.